AUUGAACGCUGGCGGCAUGCUUUACACAUGCAAGUCGAACGGUAACAGGCCGCAAGGUGCUGACGGGUGGCGAACGGGUGAGUAAUGCAUCGGAACGUGCCCAGUCGUGGGGGAUAACUACUCGAAAGAGUAGCUAAUACCGCAUACGAUCUAUGGAUGAAAGCGGGGGACCGUAAGGCCUCGCGCGAUUGGAGCGGCCGAUGUCAGAUUAGGUAGUUGGUGGGGUAAAGGCUCACCAAGCCAACGAUCUGUAGCUGGUCUGAGAGGACGACCAGCCACACUGGGACUGAGACACGGCCCAGACUCCUACGGGAGGCAGCAGUGGGGAAUUUUGGACAAUGGGCGCAAGCCUGAUCCAGCAAUGCCACGUGCAGGAAGAAGGCCUUCGGGUUGUAAACUGCUUUUGUACGGAACGAAACGGCUCUGGUUAAUACCCGGGGCUAAUGACGGUACCGUAAGAAUAAGCACCGGCUAACUACGUG
This 482-nucleotide ribosomal RNA is filed under the name uncultured bacterium. RNAcentral's name for it is "partial 16S ribosomal RNA". It matches the Rfam family "Bacterial small subunit ribosomal RNA", at positions 30 to 507 of the family's 1533-position model. The record is from RNAcentral.